This is a non-coding RNA of Myodes glareolus (Bank vole), 1244 nucleotides long. The record is from RefSeq and is a predicted model, not a curated record. NCBI's taxonomy places the organism in Eukaryota, Metazoa, Chordata, Mammalia, Rodentia, Cricetidae.
AAUGACUUGGUAACUUGUGUAAGCAAGUAGUGCCCCAAGAUGUUGGGCACACAAAACUUACAAAGAACAGCCAUCAGCUGCAUAGCAUAAUCAUAAGGCCCAAAUUCAUAAUUUAUUAAUUUAAAAUACCACUUACACUUCUAAUUAAAUCAACAACACAUGGAAUUAUCAAACCAUAUCAGAAACACCAUGCUUGCGAGUAUAUCAGAUAUACCAGAUCAGUGAACAAUAAAAGCUCCUCGUAGACAACAUAAAAUCCUAAGAAUGUGGCAUCAUAUCACACAUCUACAUGCCAUUUUGCCAAACCUCCCAGUGUGCAUAUUACAAGAUCUCCAGUCAAUGAACUUAUGAUUCUGUCCCUGGCUUUAGCUCAGUCCAAUCCCCUGCUUUACACUGUUCACUUUGAAACUGCAAGCGAGCCUGAACUGCCUAGAAAGCUCUGCCCUAGAUAGAUCUGAUGUUUGUGAAGUGACCAGACAUUUGCAUCAGCUCUCCACCUUUGUUCAGGGGUAAAGUCUAUUUAAAUCUUGUGGACACUCUUAACCCUUUCUCGGCCUCUGUGCUGCCUGUGAAGUGUGUUCCAAUCCCAUAGACUUUAGCGAUGAAAUGGGCUGUAAAACCGAAAGUGCCAUGGUCAUGACUGUCAAACAAAUCAGGAGGAUCAGUGAGUAAAGCCAUUGAAACUGCGCAUUUAGAAGGCAGAAGCAUGUGAAUUUCUGUGAGUCCAAAGAUUGCCUGGUCUAGAAAACAAAUUCCAGGCCAGCCAGGACUACAUCAUGAGAUCUUGCUUUAAGGCAUCUUGAGAUCCUGCUUUAAGGAAAUAGAACAUUUCAACCUGAACACAAUGGAAUUUCAUCUCCAGAGAUUCCAAGAUACAGAUGCCACAAAAUCACUAGUAAAAAUGUAAAGUCUAGGAGGCAAGUGGUUUGACUCCAGCAUGUGCCCCUUAUCAUGAUGAGCUGUCUUGCCCUAAGAAGUGGAAUAAAACUUCUAGAACUGUAAACCAAAAUAAGUCUUUUCUUGUGGUCCCCUCGCAUUUCUCAGUUGGGAUCCACAUUCACAAGACAAGAAAGAAGGGCCGACUUUACUCUCUGAUAUCUUUGCUCCUAUACUUCUGAAAGAGAAAGAAAAUGCUGCCAGGUGUUUGGAUUGUUCUUGACAGUGAGAAAUAUCAACUGAAGCAUGUUGAGGAUGUGAAAAUAAACAUGCUGCAGCAUAUCUAUAUCUAUAUCUAUAUAAAAUCA